This 497-nucleotide ribosomal RNA is filed under the name uncultured bacterium. RNAcentral describes it as "partial 16S ribosomal RNA". It matches the Rfam family "Bacterial small subunit ribosomal RNA", at positions 28 to 507 of the family's 1533-position model. The record is from RNAcentral.
GACGAACGCUGGCGGCGUGCCUAAUACAUGCAAGUCGAACGCUGAAGCCCGGUGUUUGCGCGGUGCGCGUGAGGCGCGAACGGGUGAGUAACGCGUAGGUAACCUGCCUGGCAGUGGGGGAUAACCAUUGGAAACGAUAGCUAAUACCGCAUAAGAGCAGAUGUUGCAGGACAUUUGCGUAAAAGGCGCAAUUGCAUCACUACCAGGUGGACCUGCGUCGUAUUAGCUAGGUGGUGAGGUAACGGCUCACCUAGGCAACGAAACGUAGCCGACCUGAGCGGGUGGUCGGCCGACCUGGGACGGUGACAGGGCACAGAGUCCUUCGGGAGGCGGCAGGAGGGCAACUUCGGGGAGGGGAGGAAGACUGACCAAGCAACGCGGCGUGAGUGCAGAAGGAUGUCGCGUCGUAGAGGACGGCUGUAAGGUAGGAACGCGUGUGAGAGUGGGAAGAUCAGACUGUGACGGUAACUGGCCAGAAAGCGCCGGCUAACUACGUG